This 255-nucleotide ribosomal RNA is filed under the name uncultured bacterium. Its description in RNAcentral is "partial 16S ribosomal RNA". It matches the Rfam family "Bacterial small subunit ribosomal RNA", at positions 524 to 776 of the family's 1533-position model. The record is from RNAcentral.
UACGGGGGGGGGCAAGCGUUGUUCGGAAUUACUGGGCGUAAAGGGCUCGUAGGUGGCCAACUAAGUCAGACGUGAAAUCCCCAGGCUCAACUUGGGGAACUGCGUCUGAUACUGGAUGGCUUGAAUUCGGGAGAGGGAUGCAGAAUUCCAGGUGUAGCGGUGAAAUGCGUAGAUAUCUGGAGGAAUACCGGUGGCGAAGGCGGCAUCCUGGACCGAGAUUGACACUGAUGAGCGAAAGCUAGGGGAGCAAACGGG